UCAUGUAAUGAUUUCCCAAUGAUAUUAUGUAUGUGUUGCCAUUAGAACUUUGCACUUAAGCAUGCUUGGGAUAGAGUAGCACUGGGAUGGGUGACCUCAUGGGAAGUCUCAGUGUUUUACAUGCC
Picea glauca (white spruce) is the source of this 125-nucleotide non-coding RNA. NCBI's taxonomy places the organism in Eukaryota, Viridiplantae, Streptophyta, Pinopsida, Pinales, Pinaceae. The record is from Rfam.